This 492-nucleotide ribosomal RNA is filed under the name uncultured bacterium. RNAcentral's name for it is "partial 16S ribosomal RNA". It matches the Rfam family "Bacterial small subunit ribosomal RNA", at positions 29 to 507 of the family's 1533-position model. The record is from RNAcentral.
AGUGAACGCUGGCGGUAGGCCUAACACAUGCAAGUCGAACGGCCGCACAGUAAGCUCUUUCUCUUACCGUUGGCGACUGGCGGACGGGUGACGCAUACAUCGCCAUCUUCUUUUUCUUGGGUGAUUUCGUAGGUCCUCUUCCGCUACUACCUCAUACGUCCUACCGCUUUAUUCAUUUGUUCUUCUCACCUUUCGCUUUUCUUUUAGCCGAUUUCGCAUUAGCUAGUUGGCUGGGUAAAGUCACACCAAGGCGACGAUCCGUAGCUUAUCUGAGAGGAUGAUCAGCCACACUGGAACUGAGACACGGUACAGAAUACUACGGGAGGCAGCAGUGGGGAAUAUUGGAAAAUGGGCGAAAGCAUGAUGGAGCAAAACCGCGUGAGUGAAGAAGGACUUCGGGUUGUAAAGCACUGUUGUUGGGAAAGAAAAGAAGGAGAAGAAAACACGGAUGUAGUGACGGUACCAAAAGAAAAAGCAACGGCUAACUACGUG